GAGGGUGUGGCUCAGUGGUAGAGCAUUUGCCUAGCAUGCACAAGGCCCUGGGUUUGAUUCCCAGCACUCUUC
Molecule: transfer RNA, 72 nt
Filed under: Fukomys damarensis (Damara mole-rat)
Lineage: Eukaryota; Metazoa; Chordata; Mammalia; Rodentia; Bathyergidae
Rfam family: tRNA
About the family: Transfer RNA (tRNA) molecules are approximately 80 nucleotides in length. Their secondary structure includes four short double-helical elements and three loops (D, anti-codon, and T loops).
Source: Rfam by way of RNAcentral